CACACAGCUCGUCUCAAACGGAGUUAAAAAAGGGGAAAUCUUUAUUAUAGACAAAAGAAAAACAUCCAUUUCCGACGUACGAAGCCGAACCCGAAAGUUUUCCUCUCGAGAGGAGAGGAGAGGAGAGGAGGAGAGAAACCCUCGGCACGCCUCCGGCGAACGCGACACGAUGGUGGAGACUCGCCGGAGCUCCGCCGCCAAGCGCCCCUCCUCUACGUCACCGCCCCCCGGCUCCCCCUCCGCCUCCGCCCCUCCCCCGAAGCGCCCCAAGGCGGAACCUCCGGCGUCGCCGACGUCGUCUGCGCCCGGAAGGGCCGAGGAGGAUUCGGAGGCGGCCGCGGCCACCAGGAGCGCCGGCUUGGCGGACGACGCCCUGACACCGGCGAUCAAAGAUCAAGGAGGGGAUAAGCGGGCGGCUGCUGCUGCUGCUGAGAGCUCGCGUAGGAGGAAGGAAACGCCACCGCAGCAGCAUGCGGCGCCAUGGGCCAAGCUGCUCUCGCAGUGCUCACAGAGUCCUCAUCUUCCUAUCAGUGUCCCUCAAUUUUCUGUUGGCCAAAGCAAAAGAUGUAAUCUAUUGUUGAAAGACCAAUCUGUCAGCGAAAUACUUUGCAAGCUGCGGCACGUUGAGCAAGGAGGUCCGUGCGAGUUAGAGGUUAUAGGCGACAAGGGUGUGGUCCUAUUAAAUGGAAGGGCCGUAAAUCCAGGCAUGAAAGUUCCCCUUACUGGAGGGGAUGAAGUCGUAUUCAGUUCAUGCGGCAAACAUGCUUAUAUUUUUCAGCAUCCUUUGAAUGAUAAAGUUGCUAAAGCGGUGACAUCAUCAGCCGUUGGCCUUCUAGAACCUCCAGUUGCCGGUGUCAAGCAUAUCCAUAUGGAGAACAGAACAGAAGUCACUUCGACUGUUGCGGGGACAGAGAUGUUAGCAUCCGUAUCGAGUCAAUCGAAGGACCUACCAGCAGUGCCACCUGCAUCAGCUGAGGAGGAGAAUCAGAGAGUAGUGCAACCUAUCAUAUCAUCUGCUUCUGAUAAAUCAAAAGGGCACUGCAUCAGCCCUGAUAAGGAAUGCGAGAAUGGGGAAAACACUAAUGAGGCUAAUUCUAAUAUUGAAGACUCUCCAAUGGAUGUGGCUGCAACCCCCAUAUCUCCUGAUGCUGUUGCUAAUGACACGAGUCGACAAAAUGGCUUUGGAUCUGAUGCUCAUCUUGAUGAAAUCGCUCUUGAAGAUCAGAGGGAUCUCAUCAGGGAUCUUAACACGUCAGCCAGCUUACCUCCGAGCAGAUGCCAAGCCUUUAAGGACGCGAUGAAACAAGGAAUUAUUAGUCCAAGUGAUAUUGAAGUUACAUUUGAGAAUUUCCCCUACUAUCUUAGCGAGAAUACGAAGAAUGUGCUCUUAUCAUGUUCAUUCCUUCAUUUGGAAAAGAAGGAAUUCAUUAAGCAGUUCUCCGAAAUUUCAUCAAUAAACCAGCGAAUUUUAUUAUCUGGUCCAUCAGGUUCUGAGAUUUAUCAGGAAACAUUGAUAAAGGCACUUGCCAAACAUUUUGGUGCUAGACUACUUGUUGUGGAUUCACUCCUGUUGCCUGGGGUGCCUUCAAAGGACCCAGAAACCCAGAAAGAUGUUGGCAAGGCUGAUAAGUCAGGGGACAAGGCAGGUGGUGAGAAAUUGACAAUUCUUCAUAAGCACCGCUCUUCCUUGGCAGACACAAUGCACUUCAGAAGACCAGCUGCACCAACUUCCAGUGUGAAUGCUGAUAUUGUGGGUACAUCCACUCUACAUUCUGCAACUUUGCCCAAACAGGAGUCCUCAACAGCUACAUCCAAGGGCUAUACUUUUAGAGAAGGGGAGAGGGUGAGGUAUGUGGGUCCAGCUCAGACACCUUCAGGCAUACAUCGGGGCCCAAGUUACGGUUAUCGAGGCAGAGUGAUGCUUGCUUUCGAAGAAAAUGGAUCGUCUAAAAUUGGAGUCCGAUUCGACAAGCAGAUCCCUGAUGCUGAAUUGCUCCGCCCAGACUUUUCUGGUAGUGAAGAAGUUGAAAGGCUAGCUAUGACCGAGUUAAUUGAGGUCAUCUCAGAAGAAAGCAAAAUUGGUUCUCUGAUAGUGUUACUAAAGGAUGUAGAGAAAUCAUUCACUGGAAUCACAGAAUCAUUUUCAUCUUUAAGGAACAAACUCGAAUUGCUUCCACCUGGUGUUCUGAUUAUAGGAUCCCACACCCAGAUGGACAGCCGUAAAGAGAAGGCACAUCCUGGUGGAUUUCUUUUUACGAAGUUCGCUAGUAGCAGCCAGACGCUCUUCGACCUUUUCCCGGAUAGCUUUGGUAGUCGGUUGCACGAAAGGAACAAAGAAAGCCCGAAGGCAAUGAAACAUCUAAAUAAACUUUUCCCGAACAAAAUUUCCAUCCAGCUUCCACAGGAUGAAGCAUUACUUACCAGUUGGAAGCAACAAUUGGAUCGUGAUGUUGAAACCCUUAAAGCAAAAUCUAACAUCGGUAGCAUUCGUACGUUUUUGAAUCGCAGUGCAAUCGAAUGCAAUGACCUUGAAGAAUUAUUCAUUAAAGAUCAGUCACUGACUAAUGAAAAUGUGGACAAGAUUGUCGGGUACGCUGUCAGUUAUCAUCUUAAGCACAAUAAAGUCGAAACCUCCAAGGACGGUAAACUUAUUAUCACGAGCGGAAGCCUUAAGCAUGGCCUCGACAUGCUACAGAGCAUCCAUAGUGAUAACAAGAGCUCAAAAAAAUCGUUAAAGGAUGUUGCCACAGAGAACGAGUUUGAGAAAAGGCUUCUGGCAGAUGUUAUACCACCGAAUGAUAUUGGAGUCACCUUUGAUGAUAUUGGUGCGUUGGAGAAUGUAAAGGAAACAUUGAAGGAGUUGGUGAUGCUCCCACUGCAAAGGCCGGAAUUGUUCUGCAAAGGGCAGUUAACGAAGCCUUGCAAGGGAAUAUUGCUCUUCGGGCCUCCUGGCACUGGGAAAACUAUGCUUGCUAAAGCAGUAGCAACUGAAGCAGGCGCCAACUUCAUCAAUAUAUCAAUGUCAAGCAUUACAUCGAAGUGGUUUGGUGAAGGGGAGAAAUAUGUGAAGGCUGUUUUUUCAUUAGCAAGUAAAAUAUCCCCGAGUGUUAUUUUUAUUGAUGAGGUCGAUAGUAUGUUAGGAAGGAGAGAAAAUCCUGGGGAGCAUGAAGCCAUGCGCAAGAUGAAAAAUGAAUUUAUGGUAAAUUGGGACGGGUUGCGAACGAAAGAUAAAGAACGUGUACUGGUUCUUGGUGCCACAAAUAGACCUUUUGACCUGGACGAGGCUGUGAUUAGGAGGUUCCCCCGCAGGCUAAUGGUAAAUUUACCUGACGCAUCAAAUAGAGAGAAAAUUUUGAAAGUUAUUUUAGCAAAAGAAGAGUUGGGACAAGAUACUGAUCUGGAGUCACUUGCUAAUAUGACUGAUGGAUAUUCAGGAAGUGACCUGAAGAAUCUAUGUGUAACUGCAGCGCACUACCCCAUUCGAGAAAUCCUAGAGAAGGAAAAGAAGGAGAAGAAUGUUGCAAAGUCAGAAGGUAGGCCUGAGCCUGCCUUGCAUGGAAGCGAGGACGUCCGUCCUCUUAGUUUGGAUGACUUCAAAUCUGCCCAUGAGCAGGUUUGCGCGAGCGUGUCAUCUGAUUCGGCAAACAUGAAUGAGCUUGUCCAAUGGAACGACCUCUACGGCGAAGGAGGUUCAAGGAAGAAGAAAGCACUGAGCUACUUCAUGUGAGAGCUCUCACAAGAAUGUGCCAUAUUGUACAGUCGCUAUACUACCCCUCCCUCCUCGGCAGGUGCAUCUUGGCGACUUGUCCGGCCAAAACCAGUCGGGUUUUUCCUCCUCUCCCCUUCAGGAGCAGCGGCCGCCUACCAUCCUGAUCCUCCUCCCUCCCGUGUAAUUAAAAUUGUGCACCGAGUCUGGGUUAUUUAUCAGCUUCUGUUUGUUCCUAUUAACUUCAAAAAAGAGAAUCCUCCAUCCUCCUCUCUUGAUCACCUGCCUGUUUGCAGCCAAUUGUCGUUGAGCUUGGCUGUAGGCCCCUUGUGUGCACCUAUGUACAUGUUUAAUGAAAGGGCAUGGAAUAAGAACCUUUUCCUCUUGUAGACAGUCUGAUGAUUCUUGCUGACGAUAACCGGCCAUAGAUUUGACUUUUUUUGGUAUUAUCAUUUUUGUUAGGGAAUGCCAUUCGGCUAGCUUUAUUGAACUUCAAAAACUGAUACAUCAUUUAUCAUCGCUGGCAUGAUAAGACUGGUGGGUCAUCAUCCCACACAUUGGUUUCAAAUUUAUCCUAGCCAGGAUAUGAGCUACUUCAUUUCAUUCUCUGUUACAAUGUUUAUAUUUCAUCUUGGCAAAACUUGUAGCCAGCAAGGUGCAAUCAAAGAAGAUCGCUGCAGCCGCAAAAGCUUCAUAGUUUCAAUCGCAUGUUAUCUGAUU
RNAcentral lists this ribosomal RNA (4426 nucleotides) under Triticum aestivum (bread wheat). RNAcentral's name for it is "partial small subunit ribosomal RNA". The record is from RNAcentral. Lineage: Eukaryota; Viridiplantae; Streptophyta; Magnoliopsida; Poales; Poaceae.